Molecule: RNA transcript, 13347 nt
Organism: Hypanus sabinus (Atlantic stingray)
Lineage: Eukaryota; Metazoa; Chordata; Chondrichthyes; Myliobatiformes; Dasyatidae
Exons: 2
Source: RefSeq, a predicted model, not a curated record
AAAAAGAGUCAAAGUGGGAUUUAAAGUAAUAAAUAAUAAAAACUGGAACUGAUUGCUCCCUCACUAUUGGUAUGGUAUUUGUAUUCCAAUUUAUAAUUCACAAUAUUGGUUACCCACAAGUGUAAUGAAUAUUUUUCAGAAGUGAGAUGCUUCUGUUGGAAUGAUUUGGAUUCUAAAAGCAGAGCUAGUUAAAAAUAGCUAAAGAUUCAGUCUGGCUAAUUCACAGUAUUUUUCAAAUUUAGACAAAUGCACAUAUGUUGGACAAUCACAACUUGCAUGAAUACAGUUCAAAAUAACCCAAUGCUUUUGACAAGAUUGCAUUCAGUCAAAAGUUUACACGGACACAAAGGAGAUAGCCUCGCCUCAACACACUGAACUCUGUUCUUUCCAAUAGCUGGCUAAAGCAACAGAGUGAGUGGAAGUGAGUAUUGAACCCAAGAAAGUGGGAGGAAGUGAGUGAGUGACUGAGUGAAAACAAGGGUAGAGUUUGAAGGUUGCUGGAUCACUACAGGAAGAAGGCAACGUGAAAGUGAGUUUAAAAUCAGAGGCAAAGUACUGUAGAUGCUAGAAAUCUGAAAUAAGAAGGAAAACGUUGUCAGAACUUUGCAGGUGAAAAGGCAGCCUUAGUUUGGCGACAAUCCAUUUGAAUCUGGGAAAAGUUAAGUGAAAAUAAGAGAAAGGACGAUAGGCAGAAAGGUUAUGAAGUUCUGUGAAAUAGUUGAAGGCAGGAGAGAUUAAAUGAUAAUUGGUCAAAAUGGGAGAGAAUAAUUGAAACAUUUGUAAAAAGUAAAUAGUAGUUUCCUCUGUCUUGUUACAAUUUUCACACAUUUCUUUAUUUGCUGUCUGCUGUUUCCAUAUUUGGUUCAGUGCCACCAUUAUGAUUUACUAAUCAUUUUUUAAUGUUCAAAUAAUUAUUUUUAUCAUAAUUCUUAUGUUCACUUUUCCUUUGGUAAAUGUUUUGUUUGGCCAAAGCUUCUUUUAAUAUUUGUGAGAACAUGUUCAUUUCUCCUUAAUUGGGAAAUUCACUUUUGAUUUCUCUGUAGAAGCUUUCUCCAGCACACAGCAGUGGUAUCCUCUCAUACCUGUACGUAUUGUUGCCUUUCAGUUCCAAUACAGAGACUUCUAAUAAUCAUAAGCUUUCUCAUACCUGGUGUUCAUCAGCGUAGUAUAAUGGGUGAGCAGAUAAGCAGUUAAUUCUAGUCAAAUUCCACUUAGAAAAAUGUUCUUUACUUAUUUGGAUUAUUUUUGAUCGCUUCAGUAGUUUUCUUUGCUCUUUCAGGUUCAACACACUACUUGCAUCACUAAAAUGAAGACCAAUGUGACCUUACCUAGUCAUGUGGGAAAACAACCUUCCCCCAUCUCCCAUGUCACAUGCUUGCUUUGCUAACUCAGUAAUUAAUUUCACUCAUUUUUAUAGUGAGAAGUAAAGUAACAAUCAUUAAAUGAAUGAAGUAAAUCCUUUGCAGUUUGAAUUAUUGGUCACCAAAUCUUGAGAAGCACGUUACAUUACAUUGAAAAGCAUUUCAGAUAUCACUCUCAAACAUACAUUACUAUGAUAAACCUAGCAUCUCUUUGAAAUGGCAAUUAAUUACAUCAUUUAUGGAUGGGCAGGAUUUCCUUGGUGAAUAAACCUAUAUUUUCAGCUCUACUUCCAUUACUCAGAGGUUACAUGGCAUCAAUACUUCACUGGCUAAAAAAAUGCUUUGGUAAAUCCUAAAGGGAAUGUGAGUAGCACUUUAUAAAUGCAAGUUACUUCAUUACUUAAUCAAGAUUUUAAUGACUGACCUUUGCACUAUGCCAACAGGUUUUAACAUGCACCUUAAUCUUUGUUAGCUCUGAAAACAAUCUCUAAAUAAUGAAUACCUACAGAACAGAAAUGAUGAUUCAUGAUAAUUAGUUAUCAAGCUAGACUUUACCUUUCAGUAUUCAAUGACUGAAAGCAGCGGCACAAGUCCCUCAGCAAAGCAGCAACUAAACAUUAUUGCAUAGGAAGAGAACAAUUAGCCCCAUUCAAUGUAAAAUGGAAAUCAAAAUUAUCCAAUACAUGUGCUAAUUUAUAUGGUACAUUUUACUGCAGAAAUACCUCUUGUUAUCAUGGGUCAAGAUAUCAACUGCACUGGAUAUAAUUGUGCGAUUUGAAAUAACUGUGCUGUGAGGUUGUAAUUUCUUAGCUGAGGACAAAGAGGUAGGAAUGGAGCCAGUAGGGCUGUAAUCUUUCUACUGUCAUGACAGGUGAAACUCCAGUGGAAACUGUUAAAGAUGGUGAGAGCAUCAGAUGAGAUACGGAAGAGAGCACCGGGUAAGCGAACCAAACACAAGGCAGGCAAGAGUGCCAGGUACAAGACGGAAAGAGAAACUUUUACAAGAUAGGCAAAAGCAGCGGAUACAAUUGUGAGAGCACGAACAAGACAAGCAAGAGCAGCAAAGACAAGGCAGACAAGAGCAGUAAAUCGGAAUCAGACAAGAUUAUCAGAUGAGAUAAAUAAAGAUUCUAGAAGAAUGCAUUCAUUUUUAGGGCCAAAGGUUGUGCUUCCAUGUUGUAUAUUUAUGAACCUAUAAUUCAAAGGAAAUCAUCUUAUAUCACUUUGAACAUUGUUUUGACCUGUCUUGCAACUCUUAAGGACCUGUAUACUCUAAAUCCCAUUUUCUCUUCCAUAUCGCUCAAUAUCCUCCCAUUUAUAAUGUUUUCUUGCCUCUCCAAAUGUACAUAUUACAUCUUAUCUCUCUGAACUGAAUUCUACUUUCUUUUAUGCUCAACUGACCAUUCAUAUCUUUCUUUAUCACUGUCAACCACAUGGCCAGUUUUUGUAUCAUCUGCAAAUACCUUUAUCACAUCCCCACAUGACAAAAUAUCUUUAUUUGCAGAUAACACAAAUCAUUAAUAUGCAUUAGACAACGUAAGUCUUGAGUCCUAGCCCUGUGGAAAUUUUUUCUUCUAAUCACAAAGACACCUGUUAAAUAUCUUUGCUAUUACACUGUCAGUUUUCCACUUUCCCUUGCAUCCAGAUGGGUUCUCGGUUUGGAAGGGACACAACACCUGUUGCUCAUAUCAUCAAGAAACCAGUUACACUGUAGAGGAGUUAGUUGUUGGUUGUCUUCUGUAACUGAAUAUUAGAAAAUGGUUUUGAAUUUGACAGUGCCCAUAAGAUUCAGAUCAAAAUCUGGGCAAAAGAAGUUAUAUUUCUCUACAAAGUGGAAAACAGGGUAACAAUGAGCUGAAUACAAAUUCCCCAAAUUGUCCUUAUAUGUAGUGACUAAAGCUGUGGGACAUGAAGAAGCUAAAGGGGACAUGGGAACAGCAAGCUGAAUUUCUGAUGAAUCCUGAAGGGAUGAACAAUUAACAUCUAAGGACACAAACUAAGAUCACUAUGGUCCAAAACUUUUGUGUAUACAUAAUGUUUUUCUGUCUUUUGAAACGAAGAUGAGUAAUGUGUUUAACAUUGGUCACAAAGGGCAGGCUGUAACUUCAGACUGCUGGCUUGUGAAGCAUUGUGAUGUCAUCAGCUGUGGCCUGGCUUGACGUGGAGGCCUGUAAAUCCAGGAUAGGAGUGAUCAGCUGAACUCUGUUCAGCUUUGACUUUGUGAAGCCUCUUGAGUUCCUCUCCUACAGCUUACUUAAAGCAUUCAGACAAUACAUUUAUACUCUGUGAACAAUUAACCAUUGAAUUAUGUUUUGAUGUCCCCAGGCUUCUGAGAUAAGAGAUAAUCCAUUUUGCUGAACAAAAGUAAAACAACAUACAGUACAGUAUGUGGAAAAGCAACUUUAUGUGGUUAGGUCACACACUAGACAUGAUCUCAUUGAACAGUGGGGAGGAUAUUUCUGGAGCAGCUGUUCAAUGUUUUAAUGCUGCUUUAUCACACCAACAGGCAAAUAAUGGUAUCUACAUACCUUGACGACAAUAAUUUUCUGUCCUAUUGUCACCAGCACCACUUAUCAUAUUUUAGCUAAAGUGAUCUCACUAACUAAUCUUGUUAGUGGCGAUUCCUUAACAUUGUUUCUGCCUUCUAUUCCCACGUUGCUUAACACGGCAAUGUUUUGGCUAGUUUCUGAAGUUUUCAUUACAAUGCCAAAUUGGCUCACACAGCAACAUGGUCCUUCUCAAUUAUGAUUCAUUGGUGAGGGUGGGUGGGCUGUGUAGGAGUAAUGUUCAGCAGAUAUUGCUACAUGACUGUUUCUUGUUGCUCCUGUACCUAUUCCUGUCUCUAUACUUACUUUUGCCUCCACUUGAUAUUUACCAACCACUUACUAUAAAAAUAAAGCACCAUGGAAUUAUGCUUGCAAGAUGGCACCAGUGAACCACGGGAAUGUUCUGCAGGCCACAUACAGUACCUCUUACGAAGUAUACCUCUAUUGAAUUACUCUCACUGCAAUGCGUAGAAUGUAAUUUCUCUUUAAGCAAUGUACUUUUAAAUUGGCUUGAUGAACUAUAGGUUUCACAAUCAUCUGAAGGGCUUGGUCGACGAAACGGGUAUUGCACCUUCAAGCAGAUGAAGGUUCAUCGCCAUGACUGGAGGUGAGGCAGGAGUGGGGGGGGGGGGGGGGGAAUUCCAAGCCAGGCUAAAAUGCAGAGGGAUGAGGCCCCUUCUAUCCUGCAUCUUGUUAGCAAAUGUGCAGUUGCUGGAAAACAAAAUUGAGGAUUUGAGGGCAAAAUUGCUGUAUUGGAGGAAAUGAGAGAUUGUCAGAGAGGCAUGGCUUUCUUCAAGCACACCAGAAACAGCCAUCAGACCCGAAGGCUUCUCGAUUUGUAGAAUGGACUUAACUGCUGAUUCAGAAAAGGCAAAAGCAGGAGGUGUGGUGCUCUUGGUGUGCUCUGAUUUGGUGGUUUUGUCAAACUCGUGCCCCCCUGACCUUGAACACCUAAUGGUCAAAUGUCAUCUAUUCUACUUACCUAGGGUGAUUUCGCUCCAUAACCCCGACUGCAGUUUACAUACCACAGUUAACUAUAAUCAAGCACUUGAGAUACUGCAUAAUGCUGUCUCCAAACAAUAAACAGUCCAUGCCAACAGGUUUGUUUGAAGAAAAUGCAGCCCAAUUACCAUCAGCAUGUAACCCUGUAGCACUAGAGGUCCCAACACACUAGACCACUGUUAUACUGAGAAAAGGAGUGCCUACCUCUCCAUGCCCAGACUGCAUUUUGGGAAAUUGGACCACCUGGCUGUCCUUCUCCUAUCUGCAUACAGGCAGAGGCUAAAGAGCAAGGCUCCGGAAAUGAGGACAACGAAGAGGUGGUCAUGGGAGGUUGAGGAGGGGCUUCAGCAUUGCUUUGAGUUGGUGGACUGGGCCAUGUUCAAGGACUCAUCUGUGGAUCUGAAUGAAUACACCAUGGUUGUCAUGGACUUUAUUAAUAAAAUAGUUGUAGACAAUUGCGUCCCCACAAAAUCAUUUACAGUCUUCCCCAACCAGAAGCCCUGGAUGAACCAUAAGAUCUGCAAUCUGCUGAGAGUGGAUGAGAGGCAUUCAAGUCUGGUGACCAAGGAAGUUACAAGAGGUCCAGGUAUGAUCUCCAGAAAGUCAUCUCACAGGUGAAGUGGUAAUUCCAGACUAAACUUGAAUCAACAGGCCAGUUGUGGCAGGGCUUGAAUACCAUCACCUCUAUAAAGCUAAAUCAUGACAAAGGCAACAACAGGGCUUCGCUUCCAGAUGAGCUCACUGCCUUCUAUGCUCACUUUGACCAUCAAAACAUGAGGGAGCCAUCACAAACUCCCAUAGCUCCCGAUGAUCCUGUAAUUACAGUCUCUGAGGCUGAUGCGUGAGCAGUCUUCAGGAGAGUGAACCCAUGAAAGGCAUCCGGCCCUGAUGGGUUACCUGGCCAAGUACUGAAAAUCUGAUCGACUGGCUGGAGUGUUCAAUGAGAUCUUUAAGCUCUUACUUUGGCAGUCUGAGGUACCCACCUGCUUCAAGCAGGCUCCAAUUAUACCAGUGUCUAAGAAAAACACGGUAACCUGCCUCAGUGACUAUCACCCAGUAGGACUUGCAUCCACAGUGAUGAAGGGUUUUGAGAGGUUGGUGAUGAUAUAUCUAUUCCUUCCUGAGAAGCAACUUGGAUCCAUUCCAAUUAGCCUUUUGGAGUUAUAGGUCCAUAGCAGAUGCCAUCUCAUUAACUCCUUACUAAACCCUGGAGGAUCUGGACAGCAAAGAUGCAUACAUCAGGAUGUUCUUUAUUGACUACAGCUCAGCAUUUAAUAUUGUCAUACCCUCAAAUCCAAUCAAUAAGCUUUAAGACCUUGGCAUCAAUGCCCCUUGUGCAACUGGAUCCUCGAUUACUCACUUGCAGAUCUAGUCAACUUAUAUUGGCAACAACAUCUCCUCCACAAUCUCCAUCAGCACAGCUGCAAAACAAGGCUGUGUGCUUAGCCUCCUGCCUUACUCACUUUUCACUUAUGACUGUGUGGCUAAGCGCUGCUCCAAAGCCACAUUCACACUUGCUGAUGACACCGUUGUCAUAGGCCAUUUCAAAGGUGGUGAUGAAUCAACAUAUAGGAGGGUGAGUGAAAACCUGGCUGAGUGGCGCCAUAACAGCAACCUCUUUCUGAAUGUCAGCAAGACCGAGGAGCUAAUUAUUGAGGAGGAAAUCAGGGGUCCAUGAGCCAGUCCUCAUCAGAGAAUCAUAGGUGGAGAGGGUCAGCAAUUUUAAAUUCAUGGGUGUUAUUAUUUCAGAGGACCUGGCUCUGUCCAUUAAAGAUUCAAUUUAUUUUUUCUCUCUUAACCAUUCAUUUCCCUUUUUAAAAACAAUGAUUGAAUCUUUCAUAGAACAUUAUAGCACAGAAACAGGCCUUUUGGCCCUUCUUGGCUGUGCUGAACCAUUUUUCUGCCUAGUCCCACUGGCCUGCAUCUGGACCAUAUCCCUCCAUACACCUUUCAUCCAUAUACCUGUCCAAAUUUUCUUAAAUGUUAAAAGUGAGCCCACAUUUACCACUUCAUCUGGCAGCUUAUUCCACACUCCCACCACUUUCUGUGUGAAGAAGCCCCUCCCCCAUGUUCCCUUUAAACUUUACCCCCUUCAACCUUAACCCAUGUCCUCUGGUUUUUUUCUCCCCUAGCCUCAGUGGAAAAAGCCUGCUUGCAAUUAACAAAUCUCCCCUCAUUCUUCUACGCUCCAGGGAAUAAAGUCCUAACCUAUUCAACCUUUCUCUGUAACUCAGUUUCACAAGUCCUGGCAACAUCCUUGUUAAACUUUUCUGCACUCUUUCAAUCUUGUUAAUAUCCUUCCUGUAAUUCAGUGACCAAAUCUGCACAUAAUACUCCAAAUUCGGUCUCACCAAUGUCUUGUACAACUUCAGAAUAACAUUCCAACUCUUAUACUCAAUACUUUGAUUUAUAAAGGCCAAUGUACCAAAAGCUCUUUUUACUACCCUAUCUACCUAUGACACCAUUUUUAGGGAAUUUUGUAUCAGUAUUCCCAGAUCCCUCUGUUCUACUGCACUCCUCAGUGCCCUACCAUUUACCUUAUAUGUUCUGCUUUGGUUUUUCCUUCCAAAGUGCAAUACCUCAUAUUUGUCUGUAUUAAACUCCAUCUGCCAUUUUCAGCCCAUUUUUCAGCUGGUCCAAAUCCCUCUGCAAGCUUUGAAAACCUUUCUCACUGUCUACUACAUCUCCAAUCUUAGUAUCAUCAGCAAAUUUGCUGAUCCAAUUUACCACAUUAUCAACAAGAUUAUUGAUAUAGAUGACAAAUAACAAUGGACCCAGCACUGAUCCCUGUAGCACACCACUAGUCACAGGCCUCCACUCAGAGAAGCAAUCCUCCACUACCACUCUCUGGCUUCUCCCAUUGAGCCAAUGUCUAAUCCAAUUUACUACCUCACCAUGUAUACCCAGCGACUGAAUCUUCCUAACUAACCUCCCAUCUUGUCAAAGGCCUUACUGAAGUCCAUGUAGACAACAACCACUGCCUGUCCUUCAUCCACUUUCCUGGUAACCUCCUCGAAAAACUCUAAUAGAUUUGUUAAACAUGACCUACCACACACAAAGCUGUGUUGACUCUCCUUAAUAAGUCCCUGUCUAUCUAAAUACUUGUAGAUCCUAUCUCUUAAUACUCCUUCCAAUAAUUUACCUACUACCGACGUCAAACUUACCAGCCUAUAAUUUCCUGGGUUACAUUUAGAGCCUUACUUUUAAAGUCAUCACUUCUCAAAAAGUUAGAUUUGAACUGUGUAAAUAGACUUUAACAUUUGUUAACCUGGACAAAUAAAUAACAGUGAGUGAUAGUGAACAGUAAUAAUAAUAUUUGUAGAAGCUGUUAAAGACCCUUCAUACAUGUCAUUUUCCAUAUCUUCAACGAACUUUCAUAUGCAUAGAAGAGCCAAAUAGAAAAAAACCCUUCAUUCUAGGACUGUCAAUAUUUGCUGGAAAAUGGUUUCAAUGAUUUUAUGACGAGUGACCUAGGUUCUGUCUUAAUAACAAAGUAGGGGUGCCAAAAUUAAUUAAGCAUUUUUUUUCCAAUAACAGAGUUUGUUCUGUGAAGCUGCAGUAGAGGGAUUCAAAAUCUUUAAGGCUUUUGAAUGAGCAAAUAAGAAGGAAUUGUUUCCACAGGCAAAGGCAUCCAGGGCCAGGGAACACAUAUUUAAAGUAAUUUGCAAAAGGACCUCAGAGGAGAUGAGAUGACACUUAUUUUUACCCUGACUACACAUGUCUGCACUGACUACAAAAAAUCUGGAAACAAAUUUGAAAAUAACUUUCAAAAGGGAAUAAAAUAAACUUGUGAAAACAGCAGUUUGAAGGGCCAAGCUCAACAAUCUGAAUGAUUUCCUUCUGUGCUAUACAAUUCAAUGGAAUAGGAAUGUGUCAGAUUGACUGAUUCAGAGGAAAUUGUUUUACAUGUCAUUCUGCACUAAACUGCCCAUGCCCAUACUAUUCCACUUCAUUGCCUUCAUAUGUUCCUCUUCAAGUCAAUCCAAGGGAGAAACCAUUUUCAGAAGAUAAACAGAAAUAACAAACUGUUUUCUUAUUUCCUGAUGAAGGGUCUCGGCCCGAAACGCCGACAGUGCUUCUCCCUAUAGAUGCUGCCUGGCCUGCUGUGUUCCACCAGCAUUUUGUGUGUUGUUUGUUUCUUAUUUCCUCUUGGGUUCUGGAAAGUCCAAUCCUCUUCUCUGCACCCUCUGCUCAUCCCACACCUUUCCCCUCAAAUAGGACAGACUUUAAAAGUCAGCCGUGCAGUGCUAUCACAAGUAGGCUGAAUGAGUGCGGCUUCCACAACGUUCAAGAAGCUUAGCACCAUUCAGGACACUGCAGUCCAGCUGAUGGGUAUCCCGUUCACUACCAUUCACUUAUUCCACCUGGACACACAGUACAGCAGUUUGUACACCUGCAGCAACUCACCAAGACUCCUUAGACACUAUCUUCUGAAUCCACAACUCCUACCAGCGAGGUCACGGGCAGCAAAAGCAGGGGCACACCGCCACAGAGAAGUUGCUCAUCAUUGCAUCUCUCCCCAACAGCAAAACCCACACCUCAAGGAUUGAAGCAGUAGAAGAAGGCAGUUCACCAUUACCUUCUCAAGGGCAAUUAGGGGUGGACAAUUAAAUGCUGGUUCAGUCUGCAAAGCCCACAUCCUGUGGUUGAAUAUAACAAAAAUCGUUCAACUUGGGUGGGCGGCCAGAUCAAUGUUCUUCACACGAGUCCAUCAUCACUCAUGUGUUACUUAUUGGUCCUGAUUUACAAACUGUAAACUUGAUAUGAAUUUGUCACUUUAGUUACCUAGUUCUGUGCUAUAGUCGCUAUGUUGAGUGUGCUACCAUUACAGAACCAUCUAAAAAUAUUAUUUAGGUCAUCAAACUAGGUCUUAAGAUUUUAUACUCAAACCUGCCCAAGAGACUAAUCCAAAUGAUCAUUACUGUCCAUGAACUUGCUUCUCAUGUGAUCAGUCCUACACUUUCCUUUCAGUCUAAUCAUUUUGCUCUAACGUGUGUGUGUAGCUUCAUUCAAUAUUUCUAAUUAUCUUGGAUCUACUAAAUAUUCAAUCAGUUCUUAUCCUAGCAAAGCUGCUGUUCUUUUCCUUUUUCAGACAACCUUAAGAUUGAGGAUGAUUUGUUUCCACUUUUAUUUUGUGGAUAUUGAGGCCAAUAUGAAAUCCAGACUCCAAACCCUUCCAUAAACGGAGUUGUUAGACAGGAGUUGUUGGACAUUUGUGAAGCGGUCCUCUCCUUCUUCCUCAUACACAUGUUCCUAAUGCACGGUCUCAAGAUUCCUGAUACCAUCCCAAAUGUUUUUUUCCCCACUUUAAUUAGUCACAGACCAGCGAUUCCCGCGAGACAAUGAGUUGUUGCAUUUUGUCAAGGAGGCUUACAGCACAUCCUUAAAUUCUUUCUACAGCUGCUAAUCUCUUCACCUGAGAGAACUUGGAAUAGGAUGUCUACUUUGGGAGUUUGGUGUUGGGUAAGGGACCUGUCCAAUGUAGCCAACAGCUUCCUAUAUUUAUGAAGUGUUAAGUGCGGGCUCACUUUUAACAUUUAAGAAAAACUUGGACAGAUACAUGGCUGAGAGGUGUAUGGAGGGAUAUGGGCCAAGUGCAGGUCAGUGGGACUAGGCAGAAAAAUGGUUUGGCACAGCCAAGAAGGGCUAAAAGGCCUGUUUCUGUGCUGUAAUGUUCUAUUGUUCUAUGGUUCUAUAUCAUAAAAUAAAGUACAGUGUGUAAUAGAAAUAUUAGAAAGAGACAUAUGAUGCCUCACUUGAAGUUUUCCAAAAGGGUCACACAACUUAAUUGCUUCUUUAGAACCGCCAUUAAUGACUAAUUUAGCUUUCCUCCUUUUAGAAGAGCAUGACCAAUCCAGCUUCUAUUCAGUAAAUGAUUUAGGGCCUCAGUCCAGGGAUUGUUAACCUGAAAGGAGAGGCUGACAUUCAUUCACCUAACCUUCCAGUGAAAUUUGUACCUUUGUGGUUACUGUGUCAGUAAAAGGUCUACACACAGAAAUCCCAACAAAACGAAAAAAAACCCCAUCAGAAUCAGGUUUAAUUUCACUGGCAUACGUCAUGAAAUCUGUUAACUUUGCUACAUUUUUACAAUUUACAAUAUUUUACAACAUUGAAUCACAGUGGAUUUAAUUUGGCCUUUUUGACAGAUCAACAGAAAAAAGACACUUUUGUGUCAAAGUAAAAACAGAUCUCUACAAAGUGAUCUAAGUUAAUUAAAGACAUAAAAUAGUUGAUUGCAAAAGUAUUCAUCCCCUUUAAUAUGACACAACAAUUCAUCACGGGUGCAGCCAGCAGGUUUCAGAAAUCACAUAAAUUAGUUAAAUGGAGAUCAAUGUGUUUCAAUUGAUCGUAGUAAAAAUUCACCUUAAUCAGGAAGGUCCAACUGCUGGUGAGUCACUAUCCUAACAAAAACAACACCAUGAAGACUAAGGAACACUCCAACCAAUUCCAUAAGAGGUUAUUAAGCACAGGUCAGGAGAUGGAUACAAGAAAAUUUCCAAGUCACUGAAUAUCCCUUGGAGGACAGUUAGGUCAAUCAUCAGGAAAUGGAAAGAAUAUGGCACAGCUGUAAAUCUGCCCAGAGCAGGCCGUCCUCAAAAACUGAGUGACCGUGCAAGAAUGGAUCUAGUGAGGGAGGCCACCAAGAGACCGACGACAACUCUGGAGAUGUUACAAGCUUCAGGGGGUGAAAUGGGAGAGACUGCGCAUACAACUGUUGCCCGGGUAAUUCACCUGUCACAGCCUUAUGGGAGAGCGGCAAACAGAAAGCCUCUGUAGAAAAAACUCAUAUGAAAUCUUGUCUAGAGUUUGCCAAAAGGCAUGUGGGAGACUCUGAAGUCAGCUGGAAGAAGGUUCUAUGGUCUGAUGAAACCAAAAUUGAGCUUUCUGGCCAUCAUACUAAAUGCUAUGUUUGACAUAAGCCAAACACUGCACAUUAUCAAAAACACAUUAUUCCUACCGCUAAGCAUGGUGGUGGCUGCAUCAUGCUGUGGGGAUGCUUCACUGCAGCAGCCCCUGGAAGGCUUGUGAAGGUAGAGGGUAAAAUGAAUGCGGCAAAAUACAGGGAAAUCCUGGAGGAAAACCUGAAGCAGUUUGCAAAAGAACUGCGACUUGGGAGAAGAUUUGUUUUCCAGCAAGUCAAUGACCCCAAGCACAAAGCCAAAGCUACACAGGAAUGGCUUAAUAAUAACAAAAUUAAUGGCCUGGUGUGGCCAAGUCAGAGUCCAGUCCUUAAUCCAACUGAGAAUAUGUGGCUGGACUUGAAAAAGGGCUGUUCACUCAUAUUUCCCAUGCAAUCUGGGGGAAAAUUUGCAGUGUCCAGAUGUGCAAAGCUGACAGAGACCCAUCCACACAGAUGCCAUGUUGCAAUUGCUGCCAAAGGUGCAUCUCCAUAUACUGACUUGAAGGGAGUGAAUACCUAAUGCAACCAAUCAUUGUGUAGAGAUCAGUUUUCACUUUGUCAUGAAAGAGUCUUUUUCUGUUGAUCAGUGUCAAAAAGCCAAAUUAAAUCCACUGAGAUGCAAUGCUAUAAAACAAUAAAACAUAAAAAUUUCCGAGAGAGAGAGAGUGAGAGAGUGUGUAUAUAUAUAUAUAUAUAUAUUAGUUAAAUUAAAUAGGUAACACAAAAACAGAAAUAAAGAAAGUAGUGACGUAAUGUUCAUGGGUUCAAUGUCCAUUCAGAGAGCAGAGGGGAAGAAACUGUUCCUCAGACUGAGUGUGCGCCUUCAGGCUUCUGCACCUCCUUGCUGAUGGUAACAUGAGAAGAGGGCAUGUCCUGGAUGGUGAGGGUCCUUAAUGAUUGACAUUGUCUCUUCUCCUUGAAGAUGUCUUGGAUACUACAGAGAAGGAGAAACAUUUAGGAUCAAAGAAGCUCCAGCACUGCAUUCAUUCUUUCACACUGGGCUGUGAUCUUUGUUUUCGUGGAAGAUGCUGUGUAUAGCAAAUGACAAGAAGGGGAAAACAGAAGUGGAAGACAGAAAAAUCAAGAGGAAUAAAUAAAUGAUGCUAUAGUGCAAAAUAAUAUUCAGGAGACUAAGAAUUACAGAUAAAAAAAGACUAAUCUGAAGUGUGGAGCAUUCAUAAUAAAGUAGAUGGGUCAAUGAACCAAAUACAGAUAGAAAAAAUGCACAGUUGGGUUUAAGGCUGAAGGGGAUGAAGAAUGGAAACCUGAAUGUGUAGAGCUAUUCAGUAUUUAGGAAGGAGAGGAGAAAGAAAACAAAAAGAAAGGUGGUGGGGUAGCGUUGCUGGUUAUACAGGAAAUCAACACAACACACACAUAAUGUUGGAGGAACUCAGUAUGAUGGGCAUCAUCUAUGGAAAGGCAUAAAGAGUUAACGUUUCGGGCCAAGACACUCCAUCAGGACUGGAAUAAAGAGUCACUGGCCCAAAACAUCAACUCUUUAUUCCUUUCCAUAGAUAACGCCUGGUCUGCUGAAAUC